This 120-nucleotide ribosomal RNA is filed under the name Pteropus alecto (black flying fox). The record is from RNAcentral. Lineage: Eukaryota; Metazoa; Chordata; Mammalia; Chiroptera; Pteropodidae.
GUCUACAGCCAUGCUAUCCUGAACAAGCUGGAUUGCAUCUGAUCUCAGAAGCUAAGCAGGGUUGGGCCUGGUAAGUACUUGGAUGGGAGACCAACUUAGGAAGACCAGGUGCUGUAGGUG